GAUGAACGCUAGCUACAGGCUUAACACAUGCAAGUCGAGGGGUAACAGGAGAGAAGCUUGCUUUUCUUGCUGACGACCGGCGCACGGGUGAGUAACGCGUAUCCAACCUUCCCCUUAGUAGAGGAUAGCCCGGCGAAAGUCGGAUUAAUACUCUAUGUCCUUCCUGGAUGGCAUCUGAUGGGAAGCAAAGGUUCACCGCUAAGGGAUGGGGAUGCGUCUGAUUAGGUUGCAGGCGGGGUAACGGCCCACCUGGCCAACGAUCAGUAGGGGUUCUGAGAGGAAGGUCCCCCACAUUGGAACUGAGACACGGUCCAAACUCC
Molecule: ribosomal RNA, 320 nt
Filed under: uncultured Prevotella sp.
Lineage: Bacteria; Pseudomonadati; Bacteroidota; Bacteroidia; Bacteroidales; Prevotellaceae
Description: bacterial SSU rRNA
Rfam family: Bacterial small subunit ribosomal RNA
Source: RNAcentral